UGGAAGUUGAAGGUCAGUGAAAGGAGAAGCAGACAGCAUCACUUCUGUCAAUCAGGAGAGGCGCGUUCCAGACAGGAAGGAGGGGGAGCUGGGAGGAAGUCACAAAAUAAGUUUUCCUCCUGGAAUCCUGAUGGAGACGAGUCAGCAGGUUUCCUGAGACUGGCAGCCGUUGUGGAUCUGGAUCGUGUUUCAGCUGAAGACAGACGGGCGGUAAAC
This is a long non-coding RNA of Xiphophorus maculatus (southern platyfish), 216 nucleotides long. RefSeq lists it as uncharacterized. The record is from RefSeq and is a predicted model, not a curated record. NCBI's taxonomy places the organism in Eukaryota, Metazoa, Chordata, Actinopteri, Cyprinodontiformes, Poeciliidae. The transcript is spliced from 3 exons.